RNAcentral lists this ribosomal RNA (258 nucleotides) under uncultured bacterium. RNAcentral describes it as "partial 16S ribosomal RNA". It matches the Rfam family "Bacterial small subunit ribosomal RNA", at positions 96 to 354 of the family's 1533-position model. The record is from RNAcentral.
UGGCGGACGGGUGAGUAACACGUGAGCAACCUGCCUUCGAGAGGGGAAUAACGGCUGGAAACGGUCGCUAAUACCGCAUAACAUACAGGAGGGACAUCCCUUUUGUAUCAAAGAUUUAUCGCUCGAAGAUGGGCUCGCGUCCGAUUAGGUAGUUGGUGAGGUAAUGGCCCACCAAGCCGACGAUCGGUAGCCGGACUGAGAGGUUGAACGGCCACAUUGGGACUGAGACACGGCCCAGACUCCUACGGGAGGCAGCAG